UUUUUCAACUAGACCAAAGUCCUGGUCGUAUGGCAAGUAUGAAUGUCCACUGACCAAAAAUGUAUGAUCUUUUUUUUUAAUUGUGUAUUCAGGACUAGAAAUAAUAUACUGACACAAAAGAGAUAGCUUAAUAUUGCGAUUUUGACCACCACACUGAUCGGAAUACAUAAUUAAAUGUUCUGUUAUAACAAAUUUUUUGAAAAAAAUACAAAACACAAGAUCCGAUUUCCUGGGGGCCUCGAGAGGCAACCGACACAUUCCAAAGAAACAUGUAAACGUCAACAUUACCCAUGUUGUGGAUUCCAAAGCAAUAUCAUGCGUAUUUGCAUUGUAAAAAGACGUCUAAAAUGGACUAUCCCAUAUUAAGUAAAAACUGAGAAUAUAAAAAUGGACUAACCCGCUUUGGUCCAUUCUUGCUCUUAAAAUUAUUUAUUAUAUUGAAAUGCAAUAACAGUUUAGGUGCUUCCAUCUAGUGAAUAUUAAGUAAAGGUGGCUUAGACCGAUUUUGCAUGAAAUUCUAUGGUGUAUGGUUGAUAUUAAUGGCAUUAACUCAAUAUGAAAAUUUUUUGGGUUAGUCCGUUAUUGUACUGAAGGCCUCAUAUAUAGUGGUAAUUAAAUUCAAUGUAGUAGUUCAGCGAUUCGUGUGCAUUUACCUGUUGGUACCUUAACACCUUUUUCUUUGAUUACAUAGUAAGAGUAUUCGACGUAACGCCUUAAAUAAAAUCAAAUUUAAAAAAAAAAUUUUUGAAUUGGAUUGCUCCUUACAAUGAAAAUAAAGAAGUAUUUUUAAGUUUGUAUAUUGUCUUGUAUGUAAUAAAUCUGUG
Cinara cedri is the source of this 824-nucleotide non-coding RNA. The record is from the annotation of a GenBank genome assembly. Lineage: Eukaryota; Metazoa; Arthropoda; Insecta; Hemiptera; Aphididae.